UACAGAGGGUGCAAACGUUGUUCGGAAUUACUGGGCGUAAAGCGCGUGUAGGUGGCGAGGCAAGUCGGGUGUGAAAGCCCUGGGCUCAACCCAGGAAGUGCACUCGAUACUGCCUAGCUAGAGUCCCGGAGAGGUUGGUGGAACUCUCGGUGUAGAGGUGAAAUUCGUAGAUAUCGAGAAGAACACCGGUGGCGAAGGCGGCCAACUGGACGGUGACUGACACUGAGACGCGAAAGCGUGGGGAGCAAACAGG
RNAcentral lists this ribosomal RNA (253 nucleotides) under uncultured bacterium. RNAcentral's name for it is "partial 16S ribosomal RNA". It matches the Rfam family "Bacterial small subunit ribosomal RNA", at positions 524 to 776 of the family's 1533-position model. The record is from RNAcentral.